AUUGAACGCUGGCGGCAGGCCUAACACAUGCAAGUCGAGCGGCAGCGGAAAGUAGCUUGCUACUUCGCCGGCGAGCGGCGGACGGGUGAGUAAUGUCUGGGAAACUGCCUGAUGGAGGGGGAUAACUACUGGAAACGGUAGCUAAUACCGCAUAACGUCGCAAGACCAAAGAGGGGGACCUUCGGGCCUCUUGCCAUCAGAUGUGCCCAGAUGGGAUUAGCUGGUAGGUGGGGUAACGGCUCACCUAGGCGACGAUCCCUAGCUGGUCUGAGAGGAUGACCAGCCACACUGGAACUGAGACACGGUCCAGACUCCUACGGGAGGCAGCAGUGGGGAAUAUUGCACAAUGGGCGCAAGCCUGAUGCAGCCAUGCCGCGUGUAUGAAGAAGGCCUUCGGGUUGUAAAGUACUUUCAGCGGGGAGGAAGGUGUUGUGGUUAAUAACCACAGCAAUUGACGUUACCCGCAGAAGAAGCACCGGCUAACUCCGUGCCAGCCGCCGCAGUAA
Molecule: ribosomal RNA, 506 nt
Filed under: uncultured bacterium
Lineage: Bacteria
Description: partial 16S ribosomal RNA
Rfam family: Bacterial small subunit ribosomal RNA
Source: RNAcentral